GUGGGGAAUAUUGCACAAUGGGGGAAACCCUGAUGCAGCGACGCCGCGUGGAGGAAGAAGGUCUUCGGAUUGUAAACUCCUGUUGUUGAGGAAGAUAAUGACGGUACUCAACAAGGAAGUGACGGCUAACUACGUGCCAGCAGCCGCGGUAAAACGUAGGUCACAAGCGUUGUCCGGAAUUACUGGGUGUAAAGGGAGCGCAGGCGGGAGAACAAGUUGGAAGUGAAAUCCAUGGGCUCAACCCAUGAACUGCUUUCAAAACUGUUUUUCUUGAGUAGUGCAGAGGUAGGCGGAAUUCCCGGUGUAGCGGUGGAAUGCGUAGAUAUCGGGAGGAACACCAGUGGCGAAGGCGGCCUACUGGGCACCAACUGACGCUGAGGCUCGAAAGUGUGGGUAGCAAACAGGAUUAGAUACCCGAGUAGUCC
This 425-nucleotide ribosomal RNA is filed under the name uncultured bacterium. RNAcentral describes it as "partial 16S ribosomal RNA". It matches the Rfam family "Bacterial small subunit ribosomal RNA", at positions 354 to 796 of the family's 1533-position model. The record is from RNAcentral.